GACUAACCGUGCGAACGUUAUUCGGAAUCACUGGGCUUAAAGGGCGCGUAGGCGGCUUUCCAAGCCCGGGGUGAAAUCUUUCGGCCUAACCGGAAAAGGGCCUCGGGGACUGGGAAGCUCGAGGGGGGUAGGGGCAAGCGGAACUUCCGGUGGAGCGGUGAAAUGCGUUGAUAUCGGAAGGAACGCCGGCGGCGAAAGCGGCUUGCUGGACCCCAUCUGACGCUGAGGCGCGAAAGCCAGGGGAGCGAACGGG
This 253-nucleotide ribosomal RNA is filed under the name uncultured bacterium. RNAcentral's name for it is "partial 16S ribosomal RNA". It matches the Rfam family "Bacterial small subunit ribosomal RNA", at positions 524 to 776 of the family's 1533-position model. The record is from RNAcentral.